AGGGGACUGAGGGCAGAGUGGAUGACUUCACUCAGUCACACCCCCCCCUGAGGGGACUGAGGGCAGAGUGGAUGACUUCACUCAGUCACACCCCCCUCAUUCCCUAUAUAGUGCACAUGUUGCCCAGGGCCCUAUAGUGGACCUUCUGUUAAGCGCCCCCCACCAACAGACAGUAAGUACAGCUGAGAUGCAGUUCCUGAUAUUGUCUGAUUUUUUUUAGAUCACAAACCAGGUCCUAUUCUUUCUGAGGGGACUGGGGGUAGAGAACCUCAUUCAGGGCAGGUCCUAGUCUUUCUGAGGGGACAGAGGGUAGAGAACCUCAUUCAGGGCAGGUCCUAUUCUGUCUGAGGGGACUGGGGGUAGAGGAGAACCUCGUUCAGGGCAGGUCCUGUUCUUUCUGAGGGGACUGGGGGUAGAGGAGAACCUCGUUCAGGGCAGGUCCUAUUCUUUCUGAGGGGACUGAGGGUAGAGGAGAACCUCGUUCAGGGCAGGUCCUAGUCUUUCUGAGGGGACUGAGGGUAGAGGAGAACCUCGUUCAGGGCAGGUCCUAGUCUUUCUGAGGGGACUGAGGGUAGAGGAGAACCUCGUUCAGGGCAGGUCCUAGUCUUUCUGAGGGGACUGGGGGUAGAGGAGAACCUCGUUCAGGGCAGGUCCUAUUCUGUCUGAGGGUAGAGGAGAACCUUAUUCAGGGCAGGUCCUAUUCUGUCUGAGGGGACUGGGGGUAGAGGAGAACCUCGUUCAGGGCAGGUCCUAUUCUUUCUGAGGGGACAGAGGGUAGAGGAGAACCUCGUUCAGGGCAGGUCCUAUUCUGUCUGAGGGGACUGGGGGUAGAGGAGAACCUCGUUCAGGGCAGGUCCUAUUCUUUCUGAGGGGACUGGGGGUAGAGGAGAACCUCAUUCAGGGCAGGUCCUAUUCUUUCUGAGGGGACAGAGGGUAGAGGAGAACCUCGUUCAGGGCAGAUCCUAUUCUUUCUGAGGGGACUGAGGGUAGAGGAGAACCUCGUUCAGGGCAGGUCCUAUUCUGUCUGAGGGGACUGGGGGUAGAGGAGAACCUCGUUCAGGGCAGGUCCUAUUCUGUCUGAGGGGACUGGGGGUAGAGAACCUCAUUCAGGGCAGGUCCUAUUCUGUAUGAGGGGGCUGAGAGUAGAGGAGAACCUUAUUCAGGGCAGGUCCUAUUCUGUCUGAGGGGACUGAGGGUAGAGAACCUUGUUCAGGGCAGGUCCUAUUCUGUCUGAGGGGACUGGGGGUAGAGAACCUUAUUCAGGGCAGGUCCAAUUCUGUAUGAGGGGACUGAGGGUAGAGGAGAACCUUGUUCAGGGCUUGAGUUCAUAAAGAAUAUCUGAUCUAGUCCGACCUCUUCUUAUUCAUAACAUCCUCCAUCAGCACUCCUACCGAAACACCAUGAAUAGAGGCCCUGACGUUCAGGACAUCCUGACAACGUUCUGAGGGACAGGGGUACCUGACAACGUUCUGAGGGACAACCUGACAACGUUCUGAGGGGCAGGGGUACCUGACAACGUUCUGAGGGACAGGGGUACCUGACAAUGUUCUGAGGGGCAGGGGUACCUGAC
Long non-coding RNA from Oncorhynchus tshawytscha (Chinook salmon), 1570 nucleotides. NCBI's taxonomy places the organism in Eukaryota, Metazoa, Chordata, Actinopteri, Salmoniformes, Salmonidae. The record is from Ensembl.